UACGUAGGGGGCGAGCGUUGUUCGGAAUUACUGGGCGUAAAGGGCGUAUAGGUGGCCUUGCGAGUCAGGCGUGAAAUCCUCCGGCUUAACCGGAGAAGGGCGCUUGAUACUGCAUGGCUUGAGUGCGGGAGAGGAGAGUGGAAUUCCCGGUGGAGCGGUGAAAUGCGUAGAUAUCGGGAAGAACACCGGUGGCGAAGGCGGCUCUCUGGACCGUAACUGACACUGAGACGCGAAAGCUAGGGGAGCAAACGGG
RNAcentral lists this ribosomal RNA (253 nucleotides) under uncultured bacterium. RNAcentral describes it as "partial 16S ribosomal RNA". It matches the Rfam family "Bacterial small subunit ribosomal RNA", at positions 524 to 776 of the family's 1533-position model. The record is from RNAcentral.